Molecule: transfer RNA, 74 nt
Filed under: Caulobacter phage CcrBL9
Lineage: Duplodnaviria; Heunggongvirae; Uroviricota; Caudoviricetes; Jeanschmidtviridae
Rfam family: tRNA
About the family: Transfer RNA (tRNA) molecules are approximately 80 nucleotides in length. Their secondary structure includes four short double-helical elements and three loops (D, anti-codon, and T loops). Further hydrogen bonds mediate the characteristic L-shaped molecular structure. tRNAs have two regions of fundamental functional importance: the anti-codon, which is responsible for specific mRNA codon recognition, and the 3' end, to which the tRNAs corresponding amino acid is attached (by aminoacyl-tRNA synthetases). tRNAs cope with the degeneracy of the genetic code in two manners: having more than one tRNA (with a specific anti-codon) for a particular amino acid; and 'wobble' base-pairing, i.e. permitting non-standard base-pairing at the 3rd anti-codon position.
Source: Rfam by way of RNAcentral
GGGGGAGUAGCUCAGCCCGGUAGAGCACGGGAUUGAAAAUCUCGGUGUCGGCGGUUCAAAUCCGCCCUCCCCCA